GAGCUGACACGCUGGAGGACGACUAGGAAUCAACCAACAAGGAUUCCUCAGCGUGUUUCUGGAGCGGAGGCGAGCUGGUAGGGGAGCCGUGAAUCUGGAGGAUGACCAUCACUCUACCAACAAGGAUUACGUUGGGGCCAGACUCGCGCUGUUUGUUCCAGACCAGGACUCUGGCUGAGGAGAGCUGAUGGAGGAGCUGACACGCUGGAGGACGACUAGGAAUCGACCAACAAGGAUUCCUCAACGUGUUUCUGGAGCGGAGGCGAGCUGGUAGGGGAGCCGUGAAUCUGGAGGAUGACCAUCACUCUACCAACAAGGAUUACCAGGAAUCUGGAGGACUGAUGGAGAAGCCGUACAUCUGGAAGGCAAAUCCUGAGGACAACCAGGACGCUACCAUCGAGGAUACCUCACACACUUGAGCUGAACCUCACCUGAUCCUGUUUGGUCGGGGGUAGACACACCUGAGCUGAACCUCACCUGAUCCUGUUUGGUCAGGGGCAGACACACCUGAGCUGAACCCGCCCUGAUCCUGACAUCCUGCUAGUCCCGUCUCCUCAGUUCAUCUGAGCCUCGUCCACCAGAAGACCUGCUGAGCUCAGCAGUCUGAGGCUGAUGGAUCAAUACCUCCAGUGGGAGUGAUCUUCUUGACCCCACAUGUAACCGUGUGCUUCCACACGCCUUUCCCUCACAUCUGUCACUAACCUCACUACUUCACUACUGCUUCCUCUUCUUCUUCCUUUUCUGUGGUUCGAACCUAUACACGGAAGGCGCGUCUUCCUGCCCUCAGAGGGUUCAGCGUUAGGGUUGAGAGUCAGGGUUUAGAGUCAGGGACAGAGCUGGUCAGGGAGGACUGCUUUUACUUUGACAUGCGUUAACCAACUACCGCUGUUUUCUUACUAGAACGUGUUUCUGGAGCGGAGGCGAGCUGGUAGGGGAGCCGUGAAUCUGGAGGAUGACCAUCACUCUACCAACAAGGAUUACCAGGAAUCUGGAGGACUGAUGGAGAAGCCGUACAUCUGGAAGGCAAAUCCUGAGGACAACCAGGACUCUACCAUCAAGGAUACCUCGUAAGUUUGCAUUAUCUGGACAUAGUGGACCAGACACACUUGAGCUGAACCUCACCUGAUCCUGUUUGGUCGGGGCCGACACACCUGAGCUGAACCCGCCCUGAUCCUGACAUCCUGCUAGUCCCGUCUCCUCAGUUCAUCUGCUCCUCGUCCUCCAGAAGACCUGCUGAGCUCAGCAGUCUGAGGCUGAUGGAUCAAUGACCUCCAGUGGGAGUGAUCUUCUUGACCCCACAUAACGUGUUUCUGGAGCGGAGGCGAGCUGGUAGGGGAGCCGUGAAUCUGGAGGAUGACAAUCACUCUACCAACAAUGAUUACCAGGACUCUGGCUGAGGAGCUGAUGGAGGAGCCAAGACUCUGGAGGACGACAUCACUCUACCAACCAGGAUCCUUACCAGGAAUCUGGAGGACUGAUGGAGAAGCCGUACAUCUGGAAGGCAAAUCCUGAGGACAACCAGGACUCUACCAUUAAGGAUUCCUCACACACCUGAGCUGAACCUCACCUGAUCCUGUUUGGUCGGGGGUAGACGCACCGGAGCUGAACCCGCCCUCAUCCUGACAUCCUGCUAGUCCCGUCUCCUCAGUUCAUCUGCGCCUCGUCCUCCAGAAGACCUGCUGAGCUCAGCGGUCUGAGGCUGAUGGAUCAA
Gadus macrocephalus (Pacific cod) is the source of this 1711-nucleotide long non-coding RNA. RefSeq lists it as uncharacterized. NCBI's taxonomy places the organism in Eukaryota, Metazoa, Chordata, Actinopteri, Gadiformes, Gadidae. The transcript is spliced from 12 exons. The record is from RefSeq and is a predicted model, not a curated record.